This is a long non-coding RNA of Pyrus x bretschneideri (Chinese white pear), 743 nucleotides long. RefSeq lists it as uncharacterized. The transcript is spliced from 4 exons. The record is from RefSeq and is a predicted model, not a curated record. NCBI's taxonomy places the organism in Eukaryota, Viridiplantae, Streptophyta, Magnoliopsida, Rosales, Rosaceae.
UCCACACCAAAAAUCGUCAUCCUCUCUUCAGUAAAUGGAAUUAGUAGUAGCUGAACAGAGUUCCUCUCUGCAACUCCUCCUCCAUUACUGCAUUCGAAUUUUCGACAAUGUGCCCGAAGUUUGAACAUGAAAUGCCCAGGAGGCCGCCCAGUGCAAGCUUUAGUGCUUGGGAGAAGCGAAAAUGUGAUUUCAUGUAUGGUGGUUGCAUUUGUCUGUCAUUUGAAAGGAAUUCAGACAGAGAGAGAAGGGAGAGGGUAGAUUUGUUGUCGGUGAGAUUGAAGGAUGGUCUGAUGUAUCCUUGCAGGUGAACUAUAUGCUCGCGCACCCUCAUCCAGUGGAACCUGUAACUGAUAGCUGCAGAUAUUUUGUUCUACGUGUAGAGGGGAACAUUGGUGAGCUUAUAUACUCUCUCAUUGUUGCAGUCUCUAAUGAUUUAGUGAAUCCUAUUAUCCUGUAGUUGGAACAAUUCAAAGAGCGUUUUAGCCUGUAUUUCCUUUCGUCAUUGGCUCCUACGGUAGAUUUUCCCCCUUACCCAGUUUACUGUUGUGCUUUUGACCUAUAAUCAUACAUAGGAGAUACUGGGUGAGAAUUUGUAGAAGGAUGUUUUGAGAAUCAUCUGGAGAAUACCUCUUUAAUUCUCACUUUCUCCUUAAGAGUUGUACUUCUGGGCAGUGUGAUGGGGAGAUAUUUUUAAAUUCUUUCCAAUUAUAGUAUAAGGUAGCAUACUUUUCUUCUCGUGGUUC